Molecule: ribosomal RNA, 207 nt
Filed under: uncultured bacterium
Lineage: Bacteria
Description: partial 16S ribosomal RNA
Rfam family: Bacterial small subunit ribosomal RNA
Source: RNAcentral
GGCGCAGGCGGAACAGUUAGCGUCUUGUGAAAUCCCUCGGCUUAACCGGGGAAUCGCUGGGCGAACUGCUGUUCUUGAGGCAAGCAGGGGCACAUGGAACUCUUGGUGGAGCGGUAGAAUGCGUAGAUAUCAAGAAGAACGCCAGUGGAGAAGUCGGUGUGCUGGGCUUGUUCUGACGCUGAGGCCCGAAAGCGUGGGUAGCAAACA